UUACAAAGCGGUGUUCGGGCACGAAGAAUUUUGAUUUCUUAGGAAAGGGUCAGACCCUUCUGGUAAG
RNAcentral lists this transfer RNA (67 nucleotides) under Terebellum terebellum. RNAcentral's name for it is "tRNA-Gln". Lineage: Eukaryota; Metazoa; Mollusca; Gastropoda; Littorinimorpha; Seraphsidae. The record is from RNAcentral.